CAGUAGCCGCGGGAAUACGUAGGUGGCAAGCGUUGUCCGGAAUUAUUGGGCGUAAAGCGGGCGCAGACGGUUACUUAAGCAGGAUGUGAAAUCCCCGGGCUCAACCUGGGAAUUGCGUACUGAACUGGGUGGCUAGAGUGUGUCAGAGGGGGGUAGAAUUCCACGUGUAGCAGUGAAAUGCGUAGAGAUGUGGAGGAAUACCGAUGGCGAAGGCAGCCCCCUGGGAUAGCACUGACGUUCAUGCCCGAAAGCGUGGGUAGCAAACAGGAUUAGAUACCCGGGUAGUCCCUGUCUCUUAUAA
Molecule: ribosomal RNA, 301 nt
Filed under: uncultured bacterium
Lineage: Bacteria
Description: partial 16S ribosomal RNA
Rfam family: Bacterial small subunit ribosomal RNA
Source: RNAcentral